RNA transcript from Brachypodium distachyon (stiff brome), 4116 nucleotides. It is a transcript of the gene named phospholipid-transporting ATPase 2, with no coding region annotated. NCBI's taxonomy places the organism in Eukaryota, Viridiplantae, Streptophyta, Magnoliopsida, Poales, Poaceae. The record is from RefSeq and is a predicted model, not a curated record. The transcript is spliced from 27 exons.
UCGAACCGCGUUCCCCUUCACCUCCGUCCAGCCCAAUUCGACUCCCCGCCCCGCUGCCCCCUUCCCUCCGGCCUUCGCAGCUUCGUCCGCCGGCGGCCACCGCAGCCGCCCUCCGUCGGAGAUUCGGGAUUCUCCACAGGCUUGCUCAGCUGAUCUCGUGCGGCCAAUCAAAGGGGACACAUUACAGUAGAGUGCAUGGUUAUUUCUAGCAAUGAAGCGCUUUGUCUACAUAAAUGACGAGUCUUACCAGAAUGACUACUGUGAUAACCAGAUUUCUAACACAAAGUAUACCUUAUGGAACUUCCUGCCAAAAAAUCUAUGGGAGCAAUUCAGGCGUUUCAUGAAUCAAUAUUUCUUGUUGAUAGCGUGUCUCCAACUAUGGUCACUCAUUACUCCUGUAAACCCCGCAAGCACAUGGGGCCCACUUAUAAUAAUAUUUGCAGUUUCGGCAACCAAAGAGGCCUGGGAUGACUACAAUAGGUAUAUUUCAGACAAGCAAGCGAAUGAGAAGAAAGUGUGGAUUGUAAAGAAUGGUGCUCGUAAACAUAUUCAAGCACAAGAUAUCCGUGUAGGUAACAUUGUAUGGAUUCGGGAGAAUGAAGAAGUUCCAUGUGACCUUGUUUUAACAGGAACUUCUGAACCACAAGGCAUUUGUCAUGUUGAGACAGCUGCCCUUGAUGGGGAAAUUGACUUGAAGACAAGGGUAAUCCCACCAACGUGUGCAGGACUGGACGCUGAACAGUUGCACAAAAUAAAGGGUGUCAUUGAGUGCCCAAUUCCAGACAAAGACAUAAGAAGAUUCGAUGCAAACAUCAGACUGUUCCCUCCAUUUAUUGACAACGACAUUUGUCCAUUGACUAUUAAUAACACAUUGCUACAAUCAUGCUACUUGAGAAAUACAGAAUGGGCUUGUGGAGUAGCAGUUUAUACAGGCAAUGAGACUAAGUUGGGGAUGAGUAGGGGUGUCCCAGAGCCCAAGCUUACUGCCAUGGAUGCAAUGAUUGAUAAGCUUACCGGUGCAAUAUUCUUAUUCCAACUUGCAGUUGUUGUCGUUCUUGGAUCUGCAGGCAACGUUUGGAAGGACACUGAAGCUCGCAAGCAAUGGUAUGUCAAGUACGACGAUGAUGAACCAUGGUAUCAAAUUUUGGUUAUCCCUCUGCGCUUUGAGCUAUUGUGUUCCAUUAUGAUUCCCAUUUCAAUAAAGGUUUCUUUGGACUUUGUUAAAAGUCUUUAUGCAAAGUUCAUAGAUUGGGAUGAGGAGAUGUACGACAAGGAAACAGAUACACCAGCCCAUGCAGCAAACACAGCAAUCAGUGAAGACUUGGGACAAGUUGAGUAUAUUUUGACAGAUAAAACUGGCACUCUGACUGAAAACAAGAUGAUCUUCAGAAGGUGCUGUAUUGGGGGUACCUUGUAUGGGAAUGAAAGUGGCGACGCGCUUAAAGAUGUCGAACUGCUGAAUGCUGUUGCCAAUAAUUCGCCUCAUGUCAUUAAAUUCUUGACAGUCAUGGCCCUCUGCAAUACAGUUAUUCCUAUCAAAAGUCCUAGCGGGCAAAUAUCAUAUAAAGCUCAGUCCCAGGAUGAGGAUGCUCUUGUAAAUGCAGCCUCUAAUUUGCAUAUGGUCCUUGUCAGCAAGAAUGGAAAUAACGCUGAAAUUCACUUCAACAGACGGGUUGUUCAAUAUGAGAUACUUGACGUUCUAGAAUUCACCUCUGACCGGAAAAGAAUGUCUGUUCUGAUAUCGGAUAGUGAAAGUGGCAAGAUUUUCCUCUUGUCUAAAGGUGCAGAUGAGGCUAUUCUUCCUUUGGCUUAUUCUGGACAGCAAAUAAAGACAUUUAUUGACGCGGUCGACAAAUAUGCUCAGCUGGGAUUACGCACACUCUGUUUGGCAUGGCGUGAGCUUGGCUUGCAGGAGUAUCUAGAAUGGUCUCGGUUAUUUAAGGAAGCCAACAGCGCAUUGAUUGACAGAGAGUGGAAAGUUGCUGAGGUUUGCCAGAAAUUAGAGCACACCCUGGAUAUUCUAGGUAUCAGUGCUAUAGAGGAUCGCCUCCAGGCUGGUGUUCCAGAAACUAUUGAAAUACUGAGACAGUCAGGAAUCAACUUUUGGAUGUUAACUGGAGAUAAACAAAGCACUGCUAUUCAAAUAGCUCUUUUGUGCAACUUGAUUUCUUCAGAGCCCAAGGGUCAACUCUUGUAUAUCAAUGGGAAAACUGAAGAUGAAGUUGCUAGGAGCUUGGAAAGAGUUCUACUCACUAUGAGGAUAACUUCUUCUGAACCCAAGGAACAGGAGUUAGCUUUUGUCGUGGAUGGUUGGGCUCUUGAAAUUAUUCUAACACGCUAUAAGGAAGCUUUUACUGAACUAGCAGUUCUUUCAAAGACAGCAAUCUGCUGUCGUGUUACACCUUCACAGAAAGCACAGCUCGUCAAGCUUCUAAAGUCAUGUGACUAUCGAACUUUGGCAAUUGGUGACGGUGGGAAUGAUGUCAGGAUGAUACAACAGGCUCACAUUGGUGUAGGAAUUAGUGGUAGAGAAGGUCUUCAAGCAGCAAGGGCGGCUGACUAUAGCAUUGGCAAAUUCAGGUUUCUGAAAAGGCUUAUUCUUGUCCACGGGCGAUACUCAUACAACCGUACUGCCUUUCUUUCGCAGUAUUCGUUCUACAAGUCAUUGUUAAUUUGCUUUAUUCAGAUACUGUUUUCUUUUGUUUCGGGUAUUGCUGGAACAAGUUUGUUCAACUCAGUCAGUUUGAUGGCUUAUAAUGUCUUCUACACAAGCAUUCCUGUUUUAACUACUGUUCUGGACAAGGAUUUAUCUGAAAGGACAGUGACACAGAACCCAGAGAUUUUACUUUACUGCCAGGCUGGAAGGCUUUUGAAUCCAAGUACUUUUGCUGGUUGGUUUGGCCGAUCAUUGUAUCAUGCAAUUGUUGUUUUCUUAAUCACCAUUCAUGUUUAUGCCAAUGAAAAAAGUGAGAUGGAGGAGUUGUCAAUGGUUGCCCUCUCAGGAAGUAUUUGGUUGCAGGCAUUUGUUGUGACAUUGGAGAUGAAUUCUUUCACAUUUGUGCAGUUUCUGGGAAUAUGGGGAAAUUUUGCUGCUUUCUACAUCAUAAAUUUCGGUAUCAGCAGCAUACCAUCUGCUGGGAUGUACACUAUCAUGUUCCGUCUUUGCAGACAACCAUCCUACUGGAUAACGAUGCUGCUAAUCAGUGGAGUUGGCAUGGGUCCUGUAUUAGCUCUGAAAUAUUUCAGAUAUACAUACAGUCCUAGUGCCAUUAACAUUCUUCAGAAGGCCGAGCGAUCGCGUGGGCCAAUGUACACCCUGGUACACUUAUGAUGUUUCUUAGUGCUUGUACCUACGCAUAGAAAACAGAAAACCCACCUCUAUGACUGUAAUAUCAAGGGGCAGUAGAUUUUUCUCACGAAGCAUGACUGGCCAACUGGGGGGCAGAACGUACCGUGCCCCUGCCUCCCUCGCAGUCAAAACUCUCCUCUCGUCAGCUAUAGUAACUGGUCAGUCGUCCCUAUCCCUAAAUUUACAUAGACCAUCUCCCCUUCCCGCCGUCCCUGUCAACUACGAUACAAAGCUAGUAAGCAACCGAUCGGCAAAAGACAACCGGUCUUGUUGUACACAAUUGCUGUUGGAAUGCUUCUACAUGCAUGGACGGACGGACGUAUGCAGCGUGGCCGAUACGUGACACAACCCAGCAAGGGUAAGCCUGGCGACCAGAACCGAUGAGGGUAAGCCCAGCAAGGGUUGGAUUACGUGACACGAUUGCUGCACCAGCUAAUACAUUUUGUGUUGGUAGAUCGACCUAUGGAUUAAUAUGACCUUGUCUGCGUACGGAGUACACGGCAAUCAAUACGAGUGAUGUAGAUCACCGAUAAUUUUGGAGGCCAUCAUCGCGUAAGUACAUGUUAUGUUGCCAGCCUGGGCCACAUACUUUAUUGUUCCUCAAUCCUCGUCCAUGUUCUCUUUAAUUUCGUUUUUGAGGGUACUAUGAAUCGAGGCAGAUAUUUCGGAGGAAGGAUACAAAUGAUGUAAUUUAAGACCAUGCUUCCGAUCUGUCACCCGGAACAGCAUAGCAAUAAAUGCCUUCUGUUCGAUCGUGGCGUGAUUCA